ACGUACACUCCUGCGGGAGGCAGCAGUGGGGAAUAUUGGACAAUGGGCGCAAGCCUGAUCCAGCCAUGCCGCGUGAGUGAUGAAGGCCCUAGGGUUGUAAAGCUCUUUCACCGGAGAAGAUAAUGACGGUAUCCGGAGAAGAAGCCCCGGCUAACUUCGCGCCAGCAGCCGCGGUAAUACGAAGGGGGCUAGCGUUGUUCGGAAUUACUGGGCGUAAAGCGCACGUAGGCGGAUCGAUCAGUCAGGGGUGAAAUCCCAGGGCUCAACCCUGGAACUGCCUUUGAUACUGUCGAUCUGGAGUAUGGAAGAGGUGAGUGGAAUUCCGAGUGUAGAGGUGAAAUUCGUAGAUAUUCGGAGGAACACCAGUGGCGAAGGCGGCUCACUGGUCCAUUACUGACGCUGAGGUGCGAAAGCGUGGGGAGCAAACAGGAUUAGAUACCCGAGUAGUCCC
This 451-nucleotide ribosomal RNA is filed under the name uncultured organism. Its description in RNAcentral is "partial 16S ribosomal RNA". It matches the Rfam family "Bacterial small subunit ribosomal RNA", at positions 329 to 797 of the family's 1533-position model. The record is from RNAcentral.